This 613-nucleotide ribosomal RNA is filed under the name uncultured bacterium. RNAcentral's name for it is "bacterial SSU rRNA". It matches the Rfam family "Bacterial small subunit ribosomal RNA", at positions 338 to 946 of the family's 1533-position model. The record is from RNAcentral.
CCUACGGGAGGCAGCAGUGGGGAAUUUUGGACAAUGGGCGAAAGCCUGAUCCAGCAAUGCCGCGUGAGUGAAGAAGGCCUUCGGGUUGUAAAGCUCUUUUGUCAGGGAAGAAACGGUGCGGGCUAAUAUCCCGCACUAAUGACGGUACCUGAAGAAUAAGCACCGGCUAACUACGUGCCAGCAGCCGCGGUAAUACGUAGGGUGCAAGCGUUAAUCGGAAUUACUGGGCGUAAAGCGUGCGCAGGCGGUUUUGUAAGUUUGUCGUGAAAGCCCCGGGCUCAACCUGGGAAUUGCGGUGAAGACUGCAAGGCUUGAAUCUGGCAGAGGGGGGUAGAAUUCCACGUGUAGCAGUGAAAUGCGUAGAGAUGUGGAGGAACACCGAUGGCGAAGGCAGCCCCCUGGGUCAAGAUUGACGCUCAUGCACGAAAGCGUGGGGAGCAAACAGGAUUAGAUACCCUGGUAGUCCACGCCCUAAACGAUGUCUACUAGUUGUCGGGUUUUAAUAACUUGGUAACGCAGCUAACGCGUGAAGUAGACCGCCUGGGGAUACGGUCGCAAGNUUAAAACUCAAAGGAAUUGACGGCUGAGAGNGCGAGCGACGACGAGGGAGAGG